UGUCUAUAAUGGCAGGUGGCCACCACCGCCAUUUUGACCGUGUCACAGGUUCCGUCCAGCCCAGACAAUUCCAUAAAAGGGAAGAGAGGAGGUGCUGAGGGUGUGGCUGUAAGGCUGGGCUCGAGUGACGACACCCAGGCGAACUAGCUACGAGCUAACCUGAAGCUAACCCAAAAAAAAUAAUAAUAAUAAAAAAAAAAAAAACCUGAAGCUAACCCUGGCUAACCCAAAGCUAAAGCGGAGGUGGGAGCCGAGCUAACGGAUGUAGCCACCUAGCUUCAACCCAACCGGAGCUAACUGGAACACCCAUCGACCUGAACCUCACACGGAGUUUAGGUGGAGGUUUUCUGCGCCUGUUCGUGAGAAGUACCUGUAUUAAAAAAGAUUUAAAUCGAUCUGUUUAAAUGUCACCAUGGCAGCCUGUGUGUCUCCAACAUCAGCUACACAAAGCAGCUAGUCCAUUUGGAUCAUUGGAGACAGCUAUGUGAGGCGUGGUGCCCAGAGAGCUGCAGAGACAACCUUGGCCUCCCUGACGUCUGUGUCUCCUGGUUCGGUUGGGGCGGACCAUCGACAUACAUACAUGUGCCGACACUUUGCGCCCUGUUUUAUAAAAUUUAGUGUUAAAAAUAAAUGUUUUUGCUCAA
This is a non-coding RNA of Nothobranchius furzeri (turquoise killifish), 644 nucleotides long. Lineage: Eukaryota; Metazoa; Chordata; Actinopteri; Cyprinodontiformes; Nothobranchiidae. The record is from RefSeq and is a predicted model, not a curated record.